GGCGAGCGGCCCCCGCAAAUCCCGCGAGGGCUACGGAGGGCGGAAGCGGCCGCCUCGGCCUCGACUCUCGCGAGACUGGCGGCGCGCGGCACCGGGCUGCCGUCACCUAGCGGCUGGGGGGAGGAGGCCGCGGGGCGGGCGGCGCCCGCGGCCGCAGCCCCCGGGCCGCUGAGGGCGCGGUGGGGUCGCGGGUUCGAGACCCGCUGCUCCAAGCGGCACUGCCGCCGUGCUGGGGGUCGGCCAGCAGCCAAGAGGCGGAGGGGGGGCGCCGUGGAAAGCCGCAUCUCUGCUGUGGCAAGUUUCUGUAGUCCACGUGAGCCACCCUCUGAGGCCAGUGGGCGCUGGCCGCCCCCGCUGUCCUGCUGUUGUUGGCCCUGCUGUAAGCGCUCACCCCGAUGGCCUGGGGACAAGUCAUGUCUUGUGUGGAGCUGCCCGAGGAGCCAUCUGUGAAGGCCAUGGCCCCCCUGCAGCCACCUCAUUGCCUCGCCAGGGCUGGCGCGAUGAGGCCGGACAGCUGCGGCAGCACACGCCAGCCCCGGUGAGGCUGCGUGUGGCGCAGGCCUGGGCUGGGGAGCUGUCGGCAGGUCAUGGUGAGGCCUGAGCUAGCUGCCUCGGCCUGGGAUUACCCCGGGUACCUGAAAUAAGCGGCCUGUCUGAUGCGUGGUGAUACCUGGAUGAGCAGGUGAGGCGGUCGCCCCUGCCAACUCUGUUCAGAAAGCCUUGUCUGCGUGGGGGACAUGUGCCAUGGUUCACCUCUGCUCCAGGAAUUUACUGACUCUAGCUGAUGUUACAUAAAAUCUGCCUUCAUCAAAUCUGAAAUACUGCACCAAAGGGAGAUAUAUACAAUGACCCUUGCCCUCUUUCACUCCCUUCCAGAGUUCGUCUCAAGACUAAAUUCAAAGAAGUUGUAUUGCUUUCAAAACGUCAUUAUCAUUAGCCUCGAAGCUGAAGAGACUGUUCUUUUCCAUCCUUGGAGAUCUUCAAAAGCCGUCUGGACAGGGUCCUGGGCAAUGUGCUUUAGGUGACCUGCUUGAGCAGGGGGGCUGGGCUAGAAGAUCCCCAGAGGUCCCUUCCGACCUCAGCAGUUCUGUGAUUCUGUGAUUCCUCCUACGCCUUGAGCUGAACAGCAAGGUAUUGAGAUCCUUCUGGCAUAGACAUAUCGAUGUGCUGCAUCCAAGAUAGCAGCUGGUUGGGUGUCUGGCCAAGGCAAACAGCGUGGGCGAAGCACAGCCAUAAUUACAACUUGUAAUAACGGGCAUGAAAGAAGACUCUGCAGAGUGAGUGGUAUUUGCUCUGUUGUUUCCAGUAGAAGAAAAAAAUGUAUCCAUAUUCCAAUCAGCUAGACUCAAGCAAGCUCUGAGUGGGGAAGCAUGUAGCUGUGUUAGCGUGAAGAUAAGCCCAAGGUAGUGUAUCUUGUCUCAGCUUGUCUGAAAAUACCAAAUGCACAUCUACCUAAAAGAAUCUCCAAGGCAACUUAACUUGACAUUUUGGAACCGUUUUGUGUGGCUAGGACUGAAAGGCCACCACAAGCAGAGUUUUAAAUGGCCCCAAACAUUAGCUGAACAGUUCACAAAAUAAAUAACAAGGUAUGAUGGGACCAUAUUUUUUUGGUAAUCAAAUUGCAUAUUAGAGUUGGCACUAAAGAAAGAGACUGUAUGUGUUGUAUUUACUGGCUUUUCUCUUUUUGUUUCCAUCUUUUACUGACACAAGGAAAACAAUUUCAGAUUACAACAGCAGCAAUUCCAAACAACCUUAAUGUAAGUUCUCUUUUCCCCAGAAAUAACAGCCAGUGCUACUUUUCAUACAGUAUGGUGAGCUAUCAAGACAGAGUUUUUUAAAAACGAUCUUUCUUCAGUAAAGGGAAUAGAAAAUAAAAGCCUUUCUUCAUUA
This is a long non-coding RNA of Dromaius novaehollandiae (emu), 1890 nucleotides long. RefSeq lists it as uncharacterized. The record is from RefSeq and is a predicted model, not a curated record. The transcript has 2 exons. NCBI's taxonomy places the organism in Eukaryota, Metazoa, Chordata, Aves, Casuariiformes, Dromaiidae.